CAGGGAGACAAAUAAAUGAUUGUGAUGUCUAAGUUUUAAUCUUUAGGCCAUAAUCCUGUCACCUUAGGUCGAUCGGUAUCUCAGGUUGAAACCCAAUUAUUUGAUGCUUCUUGCAUUUUUAUUGGAGUUUGAUUUCAGUUCCUAAACUUGUCUAGGUCACACCCAACAAGACUUCUCCUGGGCCAUUAGCUCAGGUGGUUAGAGCGCACCCCUGAUAAGGGUGAGGUCCCUGGUUCAAGUCCAGGAUGGCCCAUUCGUUGUUGGGGGUAUAGCUCAGUUGGUAGAGCGCCUGCUUUGCAAGCAGGAUGUCAGCGGUUCGAGUCCGCUUACCUCCACUGAUCAACUACCUGAUAACUAACUUUAAAGGAGAUUGACUUUGUUAGAUGUGACUUGGAAUUGUUCCUCUGAAUGAACCUAGCUUCAUAUCAUUCCUUCAAUUAUUGAGGUUGAUAAGACGCUGGGCUCUCUAAGAAUCAAUAGAUUCUUAAUAAAGUUCAGCAAGAACCUUGACAACUGCAUAGGUAAGUCUGGAAAGAAAAAGCAUCUUAAUAGAUGCACAAUUUCUAUUUUUUGGAGAUUUUCUAAUUUAUAGAGGUUGUGUUUAUUUCUAAAUCAAGAGCCGAGUCUCUAUUUAAUUCUUUUUUGAAAAAAUGAGAUUUAAUUCUCAUUGAAUAAAAAGAGAAUUAUUUGGAGAUUAUUAAUAGAAU
Molecule: transfer RNA, 707 nt
Filed under: uncultured cyanobacterium
Lineage: Bacteria; Bacillati; Cyanobacteriota
Description: partial miscellaneous RNA
Rfam family: tRNA (bases 263-335)
Source: RNAcentral